This 497-nucleotide ribosomal RNA is filed under the name uncultured bacterium. Its description in RNAcentral is "partial 16S ribosomal RNA". It matches the Rfam family "Bacterial small subunit ribosomal RNA", at positions 28 to 507 of the family's 1533-position model. The record is from RNAcentral.
GACGAACGCUGGCGGCGUGCCUAAUACAUGCAAGUAGAACGCUGAAGAGAGGAGCUUGCUCUUCUUGGAUGAGUUGCGAACGGGUGAGUAACGCGUAGGUAACCUGCCUUGUAGCGGGGGAUAACUAUUGGAAACGAUAGCUAAUACCGCAUAACAAUGGAUGACCCAUGUCAUUUAUUUGAAAGGGGCAAAUGCUCCACUACAAGAUGGACCUGCGUUGUAUUAGCUAGUAGGUGAGGUAACGGCUCACCUAGGCGACGAUACAUAGCCGACCUGAGAGGGUGAUCGGCCAAACUGGGACGGAGACACGGCCCAGACUCCUACGGGAGGCAGCAGUAGGGAAUCUUCGGCAAUGGGGGCAACCCUGACCGAGCAACGCCGCGUGAGUGAAGAAGGUUUUCGGAUCGUAAAGCUCUGUUGUAAGUCAAGAACGAGUGUGAGAGUGGAAAGUUCACACUGUGACGGUAGCUUACCAGAAAGGGACGGCUAACUACGUG